ACAAAGUAUACUGUAGAGAGGUGGAGCUACAUAGUCAAUGAGUGCUUUGACAGUACAGUAUGUAGUCUACAAUAUGUUUGAGGAGAGGAUAGUGAUACACUCUUACCUGACAGUGCAUGAAGACAGUCAUUCAGACCCCAUGAAGAUGUUUUACACAAUUCUGCUUUUUUCAAUGUUCUUUGGUAGCAGUUAUGAGGAGGAAAUAAUAUCAGCCACAACUGAAGAGCGUGUUUUUGAGGGUGAAGGUAUUACUUUAUCCUGCAACUACACUGGCUCCUACAGUACUGAUACUUUACUGUGGUACCAACAAUACCCCAGAUCAAAACCAGAAUUCCUGCUCCUCAUCACUGAAGGAGGGUUAAAGACACAUAAUGAAUCGACCCACCCUCGACUGUCUGUUAAACUAAAUGAUGAAAAGACCCGUGUGGAUCUGGAGAUCACCUCUGCUGAAGUGACAGACUCUGCUCUGUACUACUGUGCUCUGAGGCCCACAGUGACAGGAAACCCAGAAACACUGUACAAAAACCUGACAUCACACAAUAUACUGUAG
Molecule: non-coding RNA, 550 nt
Organism: Oncorhynchus tshawytscha (Chinook salmon)
Lineage: Eukaryota; Metazoa; Chordata; Actinopteri; Salmoniformes; Salmonidae
Source: the annotation of a RefSeq genome assembly